AUCAUUGCACAAUAACUAAUAAAAGGUUUAAAUCCUAGUGAUUCAGAAGCCAAAAAUUGGACUAUUGCCCUGUGGAUUCUCAUUUUAUGAAAGCAAGAAUGAAAGAAACAUAAGAUAUAAAUUUUCAUAUGCAGAUUUUCCCUCCUUAGAAAUUAUAUGUUGAAAUGAACCUGCCCCUAAGGGUUGCCAAGAAGAGUAAAUGAAUAAGCAUUUAUUCUGGUGCCUGGCACAUAGGCUGUUCUUCAAAAUGUUAGCUGUUCCAGCUGUUAAAAUGAUUGUGCCUGCUUGCUAGAUGAACGAACUGAGGCACAGAGAGACUAAAUUAUUGUUCCCACGUUGCCCAGAAUAGAUGUUUGAAAAAAUGUCAUUUGUGAAGAAGGAAAAGAAAAUCACUAAAAUGUGGAUUUCCACUCUCACUCCCAAAUAUAAGCUCUUGGAGCUACUGUUAAUGCUCUCUUGAAUGGAUAUUUCUCUAUUAAAUACACACACACGCACACACAUGCACAUGCAUACGUACUCUCCACCUUUGCCGUUCACGUGACAUUUUAUUCACACCAAUUCUCCAACUUGUAUUUUGAUUAUCUUUGCUUCAUAGCCAUGGCUUUGAGGUAAUUAUUUCACAUUUUUAAUGUACAUCAGAAGUGGCAAUUGCACGAGUUUAGCAGUAGGAUUUUUGAGAGCAAUACAGAAAGGGCUAAUUUGCUAACAGUUAGGAGACAGAGC
Orcinus orca (killer whale) is the source of this 723-nucleotide long non-coding RNA. RefSeq lists it as uncharacterized. NCBI's taxonomy places the organism in Eukaryota, Metazoa, Chordata, Mammalia, Artiodactyla, Delphinidae. The record is from RefSeq and is a predicted model, not a curated record. The transcript has 3 exons.